AGUGAACGCUGGCGGUAGGCCUAAUACAUGCAAGUCGAACGGCAGCACAGUAAGAGCUUGCUUCUACGGGUGGCGAGUGGCGGAUGGGUGAGGAAUACAUCGGAUUCUUCUUUUUCGUGGGGGACAACGUAGGAAAACUUAUGAUACCAGCGCAUAUGAUGUACGGGUGAAUGCAGAGGAUAUUCAGUCCUUGCGCGUCUGUAUGAGCCGAUGUCGGAUUGGCUUGUUGGCGGGGUAAAGGCGCACCAAGGCGACGAUACGUAGUUGGUCUGAGAGGAUGAUCCGCCACACUGGAACUGAGACACGGUCCAGACUCCUACGGGAGGCAGCAGUAGGGAAUAUUGGGCAAUGGGCGAAAGCCUGAUCGAGCCAUACCGCGUGGGUGAGGAAGGCCUUCGGGUUGUAAAGCCCUGUUGUUGGGAAAGAAAGGCUGCAGAUUAAUACCCCGAUGUUCUGACGGUACCCAAUGAAUAAGCACCGGCUAACUUCGUG
This 492-nucleotide ribosomal RNA is filed under the name uncultured bacterium. RNAcentral describes it as "partial 16S ribosomal RNA". It matches the Rfam family "Bacterial small subunit ribosomal RNA", at positions 29 to 507 of the family's 1533-position model. The record is from RNAcentral.